CCUACGGGAGGCAGCAGUGAGGAAUAUUGGUCAAUGGGCGCACAGCCUGAACCAGCCAUGCCGCGUGCAGGAUGACGGUCCUAUGGAUUGUAAACUGCUUUUGUACAGGAAGAAACCCUCCUACGUGUAGGAGCUUGACGGUACUGUAAGAAUAAGGAUCGGCUAACUCCGUGCCAGCAGCCGCGGUAAUACGGAGGAUCCAAGCGUUAUCCGGAAUCAUUGGGUUUAAAGGGUCCGUAGGCGGUUUGAUAAGUCAGUGGUGAAAUCCCAUCGCUCAACGAUGGAACGGCCAUUGAUACUGUCAGACUUGAAUUAUUUGGAAGUAACUAGAAUAUGUAGUGUAGCGGUGAAAUGCUUAGAGAUUACAUGGAAUACCAAUUGCGAAGGCAGGUUACUACUUAAUAUAUUGACGCUGAUGGACGAAAGCGUGGGUAGCGAACAGGAUUAGAUACCCUGGUAG
RNAcentral lists this ribosomal RNA (460 nucleotides) under uncultured bacterium. RNAcentral's name for it is "bacterial SSU rRNA". It matches the Rfam family "Bacterial small subunit ribosomal RNA", at positions 338 to 793 of the family's 1533-position model. The record is from RNAcentral.